AGAGUUUGAUCCUGGCUCAGGACGAACGCUGGCGGCACGCUUAACACAUGCAAGUCGAACGAGAGAAGAGGAGCUUGCUUUUCUGAUCUAGUGGCGGACGGGUGAGUAACACGUGAGCAAUCUGCCUUUCAGAGGGGGAUACCGAUUGGAAACGAUCGUUAAUACCGCAUAACAUAAUUGAACCGCAUGAUUUGAUUAUCAAAGAUUUAUCGCUGAAAGAUGAGCUCGCGUCUGAUUAGCUAGUUGGUAAGGUAACGGCUUACCAAGGCGACGAUCAGUAGCCGGACUGAGAGGUUGAUCGGCCACAUUGGGACUGAGACACGGCCCAGACUCCUACGGGAGGCAGCAGUGGGGAAUAUUGCACAAUGGAGGAAACUCUGAUGCAGCGAUGCCGCGUGAGGGAAGAAGGUUUUAGGAUUGUAAACCUCUGUCUUCAGGGACGAAAAAAGACGGUACCUGAGGAGGAAGCUCCGGCUAACUACGUGCCAGCAGCCGCGGUAAUACGUAGGGAGCGAGCGUUGUCCGGAAUUACUGGGUGUAAAGGGAGCGUAGGCGGGAUCGCAAGUCAGAUGUGAAAACUAUGGGCUUAACCCAUAAACUGCAUUUGAAACUGUGGUUCUUGAGUGAAGUAGAGGUAAGCGGAAUUCCUAGUGUAGCGGUGAAAUGCGUAGAUAUUAGGAGGAACAUCAGUGGCGAAGGCGGCUUACUGGGCUUUAACUGACGCUGAGGCUCGAAAGCGUGGGGAGCAAACAGGAUUAGAUACCCUGGUAGUCCACGCCGUAAACGAUGAUUACUAGGUGUGGGGGGACUGACCCCUUCCGUGCCGCAGCAAACGCAAUAAGUAAUCCACCUGGGGAGUACGACCGCAAGGUUGAAACUCAAAGGAAUUGACGGGGGCCCGCACAAGCAGUGGAGUAUGUGGAUUAAUUCGAAGCAACGCGAAGAACCUUACCAGGUCUUGACAUCGUAUGCAUAGCUCAGAGAUGAGUGAAAUCUCUUCGGAGACAUAUAGACAGGUGGUGCAUGGUUGUCGUCAGCUCGUGUCGUGAGAUGUUGGGUUAAGUCCCGCAACGAGCGCAACCCUUACUGUUAGUUGCUACGCAAGAGCACUCUAGCAGGACUGCCGUUGACAAAACGGAGGAAGGUGGGGAUGACGUCAAAUCAUCAUGCCCCUUAUGACCUGGGCCUCACACGUACUACAAUGGCUGUCAACAGAGGGAAGCAAAGCCGCGAGGUGGAGCGAACCCCUAAAAGCAGUCUUAGUUCGGAUUGUAGGCUGCAACCCGCCUACAUGAAGUCGGAAUUGCUAGUAAUCGCGGAUCAGCAUGCUGCGGUGAAUACGUUCCCGGGCCUUGUACACACCGCCCGUCACGCCAUGGGAGUCGGUAACACCCGAAGCCUGUAGUCUAACCGCAAGGAGGACGCAGUCGAAGGUGGGAUUGAUGACUGGGGUGAAGUCGUAACAAGGUA
RNAcentral lists this ribosomal RNA (1470 nucleotides) under metagenome. RNAcentral describes it as "bacterial SSU rRNA". It matches the Rfam family "Bacterial small subunit ribosomal RNA". The record is from RNAcentral.